CUGUCUUAUUUAUAAAAAUUGAAUUUAACUUUUAAGUGAAAAGGCUUAGAUGUUGGAAAGGGACGAUAAGACCCUAUAAAACUUUAUAUAAAGUAAAUUUUUUAUUAUAGUUAUUUGUUUAAUAAGAAAUAAUUUAUUAAUAUUUUAUUGGGGCGAUAGGAAUAUAUAAUUAACUGUUCUUUUAGAAUACAAAUAUUUUUGGUUGGGAAGAUCCUUAGUAGAGAUUAUAAGAUAAAGUUACUUUAGGGAUAACAGCGUAAUCUUUUUUAAGAGUUCAUAUCGACAAAAAGGAUUGCGACCUCGAUGUUGAAUUAAAAUUUCUUUAUGGUGCAGAAGCUAUAAAAGAAAGUCUGUUCGACUUUUAAAAUUUUA
This 372-nucleotide ribosomal RNA is filed under the name Stenopus tenuirostris. Its description in RNAcentral is "partial 16S ribosomal RNA". It matches the Rfam family "Bacterial large subunit ribosomal RNA", at positions 2048 to 2598 of the family's 2925-position model. The record is from RNAcentral. Lineage: Eukaryota; Metazoa; Arthropoda; Malacostraca; Decapoda; Stenopodidae.